UCCCUGGAGGACCAGUGGUUAGGCCACAGCGCUCUCACUGCUGCAGCCCGGGUUCGAUUCCCAGCCAGGGAA
RNAcentral lists this transfer RNA (72 nucleotides) under Pangasianodon hypophthalmus (striped catfish). It matches the Rfam family "tRNA". Rfam says of the family: Transfer RNA (tRNA) molecules are approximately 80 nucleotides in length. Their secondary structure includes four short double-helical elements and three loops (D, anti-codon, and T loops). Lineage: Eukaryota; Metazoa; Chordata; Actinopteri; Siluriformes; Pangasiidae. The record is from Rfam by way of RNAcentral.